RNAcentral lists this long non-coding RNA (2251 nucleotides) under Canis lupus familiaris (dog). Its description in RNAcentral is "lncRNA (ENSCAFG00000052642.1, ENSCAFG00805009562.1)". The record is from RNAcentral. Lineage: Eukaryota; Metazoa; Chordata; Mammalia; Carnivora; Canidae.
AUGCAGAAUGAAGAUACGGCCUUUUGUCAGAGAGGAAAAGUACACUUGCAGAGGGAGUCUUCAGCUGGCGGGAAGAGACAAACAGAAGCCAGAACCCAGAAAGUUGGAAGAAGAGAGGAUCCUUUCAGCCACAGAGCCUUGAGGCAGAGACCAACACAGGCACUCUGGUGCCCCACCGUACCACAUGGUGCAUUUGUGCUCCCUCCAGUCUCACGACUGUCAAGAUUCCCUUGUACUAGCCCUGGACUCAUGCACCAUAUUCCAGGGAGGGGCAGGAUCUGGGAAAGUCUCACCAGUCAUCUCCCUUUCCCCCAGGUCUGCCACCCCAUGCCUCACAAAUGGGUGAAACCCUAUGAUCCAAAAACCUCCACACUGAGAAGCACUAAGUAGUUGGAUCCGAGAUGAACUACAGGCUAGUCCCCACUGACAUACGGCCUCUGGUUGGCCACUCACCAACCACUCCAGGAUGCUGCUAACCCAAGAAGGGCAGCUGUCACUGUGCAAAGGCCCAAGUCAUGGCAGGACACACACACCCAACCUUGACCCUUCUUGUUCUCAUGCCUUGACUCCUCUCAGAGGCAGAAUGGCAGCAAGGAUACUGAGGCCAAGAGGACCUGGAACACGAGACGCCUGAGGGUCAAGUAGCAGAGAACCCUUGGUCAGGAGGAGGGUAGUGGGGAAAGUGAGCCUACAGGAUUAGCCCUCACUUAUAAAAUAUAAAUGAAAAGAAACAGUUGUCAAGAAUCUCGAGAUAGUCAUGGAAGAGCAUUAAAUCCCAAAUGUGGGACACUGUCCUGUGUUGAUAUACUGGUCAUACACCCAUGAAGCCGGAGCAGUAUAUACAUACACACAAAAAAACUCCAUUCACCCCAGGCAAGCUUUUUGAAAGAAGAGUUCACACUGGCCAGCCUGUCCUCUCCUGUCUCAGUCACAUCUCAACUCAUCAUAUCAGGCUUCCAUCUCUAAAAUCAGGAAGAGAUCAGGCUUUGUAGGACCUAAAGCUCACACAGUUUUGAGACCAGUGUUAAGAAGACAGAUUCUAAAAUAUGAGCCUGUGAUUAAGUAUAUAAAGGAGAACAUGCAUUUGAGUGGUCUAAAGCUUAAACUCCAUUAGCUUCACUGUAAAUCCUCCUCUGCUCACAAUUUUGCUCUACUGUUCUCCCCAUUUUCCUCAAUUGCCACAUCUAAUGGACAAAUUUUGGUCUGAGUCUCACUUGAUUUCUUCCCCAUAAUUGAUAUGAAGAUCAUUGAUUACUUGCUCCUCGAAAUCCCCUAAGAUGGCUUCUGAUACAUCAUCUAUCUUCUGGGCUAACUCAUUUCAUCAACUUUCAUUGGCUUUCUCUCCAAUUCUUCCACCUGUGCUACCUCAGUAACUCUUAGUAUCUAUAUUUGUUUUAAAGGAAAGAUAUUGCUUAAAACUACAUUAUAUAUCAUAUAUGCAAGUGGUUUAUAAAUUGUAAAGCACUACAUAAAUAUAAAAUGUUAUUAUUACUAGGUGAUUGAUUCUAUAAUUUGUUCAGCAAAGAGUAUCUUAACUUUCCAAAUGAUCCUUUUAUAUCCUAAAAGAGAUAUGUAUGUAAGAGAUUCAUGCAAGUUACAGAAAUGACUUUAUGAUUUAUACAUUAUUUUUAUGUGUCUUACUUUUUUGUACUCCCCAUUACAAAAUAAAUAACACUGAAAAAUUAAGGAAAUGACAUUUAUUAUGUGUAUAUCUCUGUUUCUCUGAUUAUAUGAGUGGAAUUUUUACUUUUAUGGAAAUUAGUUGCAUGAAACUCAAGCAAAUAUAUUUAAAUGCAGCAUAUAUACUUCCCUAAAUGUAAAUUAAUCUGUCCAAGUGAAAAACCAACCAAAACACAGAUUUCUUUUUCCUUAUUAGAGUUUGCCCACUUAUGCCACUCAAAAUAAUGACUAUAUUUUGCUAUAAAUUAUUUUUCUAUGGAAUUUGAAUAGUUUUAUCUCUGCCUUAAUCAGAAUCAACCUAUCUGAAGGCAGAGAUAAUUUAUAAAUUAUUAUUUCCUUGUUUUAAGGUUAAUCACAGUUUCAAAAACUAUCCAACACACACACAAAAAAAAUUUAAGUCCACUUCGGCUUGUGAAAGGCUUCAUUUAAGAUAAUAAAAACACAUUUCAUGGCUAAUCGCCAAAAGAAGAAUGAUAAUUUCUUAUUUAUAAUGGUGACUUAUUUUUCCUCUAAAGAAUGGGGUAUAGGCAUCCAUAAUCUUCAUCUUUGCAAAUCAAUCAUUAUAAUCGAG